UUGGAGCUGCUGUGGAGGGACCUGUUCUUCCAGCCAGCGCUGUGCGGGCAGGAAAAUGGCGCUGGAACGCUGCUGGGUCCACUCUGAGGAGAAGCUCUGCCCCCUUAAUGGUGCUGUCUUCCCGGUCUUCAUAGAUUAUACUGGCUUGAGCAGAGGGAAAAUCCUAUACUCAUGGGAACAACAGGCAGUGUUAGUAUAUAACGGGAGCAAUGGAAGGAGAAUGCCACGGACAGUGAGUGGAACGAGCAGGCUCCUCCAACAGUCCAUAAAGUGAGAACAGGCUGCUCUCAAAUACAGUAGAAACUGAUCAAGAGCAUGGUUUGUGUAGCAAACAAUCAAUAUUGGACUUUGCCUGUGAUUCCAGAGGUUGGAGUUAGCAAGGAGAGCAUGCACAAUUUUCAGUCCAACAUAGGUUUUACCUGUAAGAAAAAUGGUAGAUAAAAUAAAACUUUACAAUUGGAA
Long non-coding RNA from Pseudophryne corroboree (corroboree frog), 462 nucleotides. RefSeq lists it as uncharacterized. Lineage: Eukaryota; Metazoa; Chordata; Amphibia; Anura; Myobatrachidae. The transcript is spliced from 3 exons. The record is from RefSeq and is a predicted model, not a curated record.